Molecule: transfer RNA, 85 nt
Filed under: Felis catus (domestic cat)
Lineage: Eukaryota; Metazoa; Chordata; Mammalia; Carnivora; Felidae
Also listed under: 4 other names
Rfam family: tRNA
About the family: Transfer RNA (tRNA) molecules are approximately 80 nucleotides in length. Their secondary structure includes four short double-helical elements and three loops (D, anti-codon, and T loops).
Source: Rfam by way of RNAcentral
GUCUGAGUGGCUCAAUUGGUUAAGCAUCUGACUUUGGCUCAGGUCAUGAUCUUGUGGUUUGUGAGUUCGAGCCCCAUCUCUGCUG